Pangasianodon hypophthalmus (striped catfish) is the source of this 759-nucleotide non-coding RNA. NCBI's taxonomy places the organism in Eukaryota, Metazoa, Chordata, Actinopteri, Siluriformes, Pangasiidae. The record is from the annotation of a RefSeq genome assembly.
AUGGUAGCUGUGGGUGAAGUUGCUGUAGCAGCAGCUCUGAGUCAUGAAGUGUUAAAGUCACAGCGCUAUAAACACUCCCAGAGCACUGAAGCAUGUGCUGCCAAUGCAAAGUGUCCUCUAAGUAUGGAAACACCUUUACCGCAUUCCCCCAAUCUUACUCCAUUAAACCUGUUUGUAUCACUGUGGGUCACUUUUGGUGGAGGAACCAAACUGUCUGUGGGCCGUCUUACCCAGCCCACUGUGACAGUUCUGCCUCCCUCCAGUGUGGACCUGCAGCAGGAGAAGGUCACACUCAUGUGUGUGGCCUAUAAGGGCUUCCCCUCGGACUGGAGGCUGAGCUGGAAGGUUGAUGGGAGCAGCUUGAGCUCGGGGGAGAGCCACAGCACCGCCGUUCUGCACGCGGACGGCCUCUACAGCUGGAGCAGCACGCUGAGCAUCCACCCGGAGCAGUGGAGGAACAAGGUGGUGACCUGUGAGGCCUCCAAUGACAACCAACCUCCUGUGGUGAGCUCAGUGGACAGAGAGCAGUGCUAAGAGCUGUGAGCUCACACUCACUUUACUCAGCUCACCUUCUACUGCUUCACUGUGUGUUACAUGUGGCCCACUUUCAUAAUUUCAUGUGCGGUAUUAAUGUCAGUUCACACACUCCUCAGUUUAAAUCAGCUCUUCUUCUUCAUUAUCACCUAAAUAUGUGUUAAGUGUGUUUAUCACUGCAAUGUCCUGCUUUGAAUUAUUAAUAAAAGCCUUUGAAUCAGUAAA